UACGGAGGGUGCAAGCGUUAUCCGGAUUAACUGGGUUUAAAGGGUGCGUAGGUGGGCAGGUAAGUCAGUGGUGAAAUCUCCGGGCUUAACUCGGAAACUGCCAUUGAUACUAUCUUUCUUGAAUACCGUGGAGGUCAGCGGAAUAUGUCAUGUAGCGGUGAAAUGCUUAGAUAUGACAUAGAACACCAAUUGCGAAGGCAGCUGGCUACACGAAUAUUGACACUGAUGCACGAAAGCGUGGGGAUCAAACAGG
This 253-nucleotide ribosomal RNA is filed under the name uncultured bacterium. Its description in RNAcentral is "partial 16S ribosomal RNA". It matches the Rfam family "Bacterial small subunit ribosomal RNA", at positions 524 to 776 of the family's 1533-position model. The record is from RNAcentral.